GACGAACGCUGGCGGCGUGCUUAACACAUGCAAGUCGUACGGAAAGGCCCUGCUUGCAGGGUACUCGAGUGGCGAACGGGUGAGUAACACGUGGGUGAUCUGCCCUGCACUUCGGGAUAAGCCUGGGAAACUGGGUCUAAUACCGGAUAGGAGCCAUUUUUAGUGUGAUGGUUGGAAAGUUUUUUCGGUGUAGGAUGAGCUCGCGGCCUAUCAGCUUGUUGGUGGGGUAAUGGCCUACCAAGGCGGCGACGGGUAGCCGGCCUGAGAGGGUGGACGGCCACAUUGGGACUGAGAUACGGCCCAGACUCCUACGGGAGGCAGCAGUGGGGAAUAUUGCACAAUGGGCGCAAGCCUGAUGCAGCGACGCCGCGUGGGGGAUGACGGCCUUCGGGUUGUAAACUCCUUUCGCUAGGGACGAAGCUUUUUGUGACGGUACCUAGAUAAGAAGCACCGGCUAACUACGUG
This 465-nucleotide ribosomal RNA is filed under the name uncultured bacterium. RNAcentral's name for it is "partial 16S ribosomal RNA". It matches the Rfam family "Bacterial small subunit ribosomal RNA", at positions 28 to 507 of the family's 1533-position model. The record is from RNAcentral.